UGAGAAGAAGUUUUUCCAAAUACCCGACCUUCUACUGUUUUUACAAGAUUUUCUUCUGAAGCUCCUCCACUAGUGCCCUCUAAUGUCAGUAGAAAAGUUAUCUUGGAAGAGUUGAGGAUCAGAUUGUCAAAAGGAUUUGCUUUUUCUCCUGGAGUAAGAGUGUGUUCAGCCCCUGCAUUCCUUUCUAGAUGGCACUGAAAGCUUUUGCCUUUUAUUCCCAUGUGAUCACCAAAUCCUGAUAAAAGGUGGCAGCUGUUUCAUGUGGGGAGAAAGCAGAUGGAUUGACCUAUACAGGUCAUGUUGAUCUGAGAAGUGCUCCUAUCUAAGAGAGGAAACUAAGAAGAAAUAAUAUAAUGUCAUUUUUUUCAUUUACAGACUUUUUUGUAUGGCUCAGGGCAAUUACUUUGUAAAAUGUAAUGCUUUACAGCUUGUAGCUGUCACAUAAAGACAAAGAUCUUAAAUAGCAUUGCUGGAUAGUAAAAGAAAUAUGCUAAAACAAAGCUUAAAAAGGAAACUCCUCAACUUCACUUGUUUACUUCUGCUGUAGGCAGUGAAUUGGUUAUGAUAUGGAAUACUGAUAAAACCAGGACAAAAGUGCUGAUAAUGAGAAGAACUCAUCUUUGGAUUUCUGGUUCGAAGUAAUCUGCAGUUUGCUUGUGCUUACUGAAGUAUUUUGAUGAAGAACAGGAGAGGCUUAGACAGGAACGGCAUAUUCUAUAGCUGAGAUUUGUUGCUGAGGCAAACAAUCUAAGUUUUGGGAAGUUGUUUGCAGUUACCUGUUUAGUAAUGUGAAAAUUGGCUGUCAGUUGACAGAUGAUUUCUCCACCUGUUUUGCAGGCAUCAGAAAUGAGGAUCCAUUUUAGUGAAUGCCAACCCAAACACAGCAGCUGCGUGCUCUGGGUUGUGGUGGCAAGCCCUCACAGCAGUGGAAAACAAAACGUAUCGAUCAGAUCCAGAACGCUGCUGUGCUGGAAGGAAGGAUCUCACACUGCUUGAGGAAGGUGGAGCCUGUAAUGGUACAGGAAGCUUGAUAAAUGCAAACUGAGUUGCAUUGUUUGAUUACUGGACUUCAGUUAAAAAUAAUGGAAUAGUUUUUAAGUGGCAGAUUUAAAUGAAAGGACGAUACUUUGCUAAAGAGAGUAGCUGGAAGAAGAAGAAAGAAAGGCACAAAAUAAAAAGCAGGAAUAACUGUGGCUGCAGACUAACUAGUGUUCCUCAGAGGAAGCAUCAGUUCUUUGAACUUCUAGUGGACACAAUAUGGGCGUACGUUUCCUCCUGUAGCCUAACAGACGAGUAAAAUAUUAACAUGUACUAGGGUAGCUACGUUUGGAGCACAGUUAGCAAAUGUUAAUGUAAACCACAAGAAAACACACACACUGGUUUGUGGUAUUAACCCCUGGUGGUUUAUGCUACCACUGGUUAAACGUACCAGCUCCAUUGCUUGCCUUGCACUGUCGCUUCUGGUCUGGAUAGUAGGAAAGGAAUGUCAUUUCUGCUUGCCCAUUCUCCAGUCUUUCAGCGUUGAUGGGUUAAUUUAGUCUUGACUUUAGAAUAUGUUUCAUAUGGUUGGUUCAGCCAAGCGUAGAAGCCAACUGAAAUACGUUUGUGACAGUGCUGCUCUGACCUCUUCCUUGUAUUGUGAGAUACUUGCACUUCUACUAUUUCGUGCAGGUGGUAAAAUUGUGGUGAAGAGCAAAAAAUAGCUUCCAUCCAAAAUGGCACCUGUGGUGAAUGUUAUCAGAAAAGGAAACUGAUAAAAAUGUAUCUAUUGCAAUAAAGCUAGUCUAUUGCAGUACAAGUUUCCCGGUCAGAAACACAAUCAUUCUGUGUCAGGCCUACUUAAAGGUGCAGGUAUCUGCUGAAAGCCACAGUCCGGCUGCAGCUGUAGCCAGAAUGAAGACAUGGAAAGGUCUACUAAGGUACAGGAGUCCAGGCUGUGACGUGCAUGGUUUCAGUUCUUCCCUGGGAAGAUUGCCUUCCUAGCCCUGCUCGUGGCGUGACCAUCGCUGUCCUCAGGAGCAGCACAGUGAACACUGAGAGAGGCCUAUGAGACCCAGAGCACCGGCUCCCUGUUUCAAGAAGCAAGAAGAACUGUGGACUUCGACCCCUCUGAGGGUAUGGCGUGAAGUUUGUCUUCUCUUUAACCUUCUGGUAAGUGCUUAUCACUGUCUCUGUGCUUGAGGAGAAAACAUGGAGAGGGCUGUUGCUAUUUGUGAGUGGAUGGGAUGCUGAGGUACUGGAGUGGCAGCAAACAGCGGCCCUGCUUCGGGGUGGCCCAGAAGUGUGUGUUGACUGCAGCUCUUGCUGCUGGGAGCCUUCAUCACUGGAGGAGGAAACCUGCAGCGAGUGCUCCGUGGCUCCUCCAGCCUGAGGCCCUCCUGCACAAAGAGCUGCACUUCUGUGCAAGGUGCUCGUGCUGUUGCUAAGAGACUGAAGCUCAACUUGCAAAGAAAGGUUAUUUCCAAAUUUAAAAUGGCUUCUCUCGUAGAUCUGGCUCAGAAGUGAGGUCCUUUAUGCAAACGGGCAUUCACCUGCUCAUGAGCAGUUCUUGUUUUAUGUGGUGAAUUUCUAACUUCACAACAUAAGGGUCUGAAAUUUAGGAAGGACAAACUUGUAACUUUGUGAAUGUGCACAGCUGUAUGUGCAGACACAGAGCACGUAGCACAGUCAUAUUCCAGAUGCUUUGUGACAGCACCAUAGAUCUUAGGUAGAAUUGAUAGAAAUCAUUUCCAGGGUAUGCAUCUUUCAAACCCUUUUGUGGAACCACUCUCACUUUGUGCUUUGUUACUGCACCUGUGGGUGGGAACUGGGGAAACGGGUUGAAACUUGUCAGAACACUCCACAGGUGCAUUUUUACCAUUAAUGGUUAAAAAUUGAAUGUUUUGAGCCUACUCUGUGCUUCAGAUGAGAGCACCGACAGUUUUUUCCACACUCAGAACUCCAGCGUUCACCUUCGAGUCGCUCUCCUGCAGCACUGCCCCAGGGAAUAUAUGAACAUUGACACUCAGUCAAUGCCUAGUUUUUCUCCUUUGCUUUCUGCUCACAAUUCUAUUGUGGUCUUCUCAUCUCCUGCCCUGAUUAGUGUUAAUUUCCUUCUCUAUUAAUAUUUUUAGUACCGUACUGCAGUCCAUUCAAAGCACCAUUAUGAAGUGAAGUUUCUUGUUAUUAUUUCUCAGGUGCAGUUACCUCAAUCAGUUCUUUAGUUUUCACAGUGACAAGCUUAAACUUCAUGUUCUAAUCUUGUUAGCCUUUUAAAACAUGGAUCAUUUUGUAGAUUCUCACUGUGUUUCUUUCCUUAUUUCCUUUUCAUCUGCACUGUGGCUAAAAGUAUUGACAGCACUGAAGCACAAUACUUUUAGGAAAAAACACCCACGACACUAUUCUAUUGGUACAUGAGAAUGACUAAGAAUAAUGGACUUUUUUGCACUGGGACUCAGGUUACUGAUGUUGAUGGAGAUCUCCUUAUGAUCACAUCGUGGUGCUGUUGAGUGCUGCAUAUUCCAGGGGCAGAUCAAAUCCAAAAGGGAGAAGUUUUGUGACAUGUCCUGGCACGCCACAAGACUGCAGAGACCAAACUGGCUUCCUUUUAGUCUUCCUUUUACUAAUCUCAGAUGAUACUCUUGGCUGUGAUUAACACCAUUAGUCUCACGGCUCUGCAGUCUAAUGCUUUAGAGUGAGAUGCUGUCCAAAUCUUUUGGACACCUUCGUGAAGAUGACUGGUGCGGGCUGAUGCUUUUAGGACAGGAUUCCCGGGACUGAGCUGCCGGCAGCGGCCCGAAGGUGGCAAUGUCGGAUCCUCGAACGGCCGCACUGCGGCUGCUGCUGUCGAAACCCUGAAACAGGCGCUGAGGGCAGAGUUUCUGCUGUCAGAGGAAAAGCAAGGAGUCAGUGGGAAAAAAAAUGCACAUGCAGGUUUACACUAGUCACCCCAAGAGGAAUGUUUUAUUAAUGCAAUUUUGGGGCGUAUCGGAGCCCCUACCUUGGAACAAAGAUGCCAACUAUUGAUGCUGAUGCUUCUUUUCUGUUCCCAUCAAAUCAUGUUCAUUUUCACCCUGUGAUACCUGAACUGAAUUUGUGCUCCCUACCUUUGCCUAACUAACAGGUAACUUUCCCCCAUUAUUGUGCCACAUGAUGCUUUGCGAUCUUAAUUUUCUCCAUUCACGUUAUCCACUGAAGCAUUCCUCGCAAAAAUUAAAUACAUUUACAAUUCUACAGUGUUGCAGAUGAUUUUCUUGAUUUCCCAAAAUGUGCUUCUAAUUCUGAGUGAGACUGACUCAUCUUUUCCUUGGUUGACCUGAGAACUGCUAUCACUAUAAAAGUCCUGGAGGAUAACGCGCAGGUUCUUUGCGUGGUGAAGUGCAUCACUAAUGAUAAUGAGCAGCAUGACUUCCAUUUAUCAUCCAGCAACUGUGUGUCAAAACUUUGCCUCCAUCCAUAGUUACCUAUGGAAACUUAUGCUAGACCGCCCCACUUUAUUCCUGUGGUAGGCACACCAUGUAAAUGACAGUAUCAUACCGACCAGAAAGGGACACGUUACUGUAUUUGCUGACCAUGAGAAUGACUGAGAGCUGUAAAAUUCUCAUUCAAACUUUGGAAACAAACAGCCUUGUUUUUUUAAUUCUAAUCUCCAGAUGAUGUCUGGAAAGUGCUUGCAUUCCUGGUCAGCACCUUCAGCGGGCUAAUCAUUGCAGUUUAAAGCCUUGUCUGUGGCUGCACGACAAAAGUAGGAAAGAAAAUGAUGAAGAUAACAAAGAUGGCUACAAAACCACAAACACGGAGAAGGAUGCCUGAUGGAGGAGAAGCUCUGGACAGCGCUGCCCAUGUUUGUGUGCCCCAGUUGACCAGCAUUGCACAAGGCUGUUCUGCUCUUGCCACAAGGGCUACAGGAAUCAUGAAUGAAUAUGUAUAAAGUGUAGCAAAUUUGUUCUAAUUACCCUACCUGGUCUGCUGUGUUUCAAGUUAUGGCAGAACUUUAUUUCUGUUUAUUUCUGGAUUAGUUCCCACGGGCAAAGAGAAAGCAGAAGCCCCAUUGGGUAGAGCAGAAGUGUUGCCUGCUACUACAAUCCUGCCACGCCUUUGGCAGAACUAAUAGCGCUCAUGAUAUCUUCAGUAAUUUCUAGGGAGUAUUUCAGAAGAUGCUAGAAAAUGAGAAAGAAAAACAAUAAGCAAAAAGGGAGGAAGUUCUGGUUUUAUUGUUAAUAAUUAUAAAGCCAAACUCUGAACAUUUUCAGUUUGUUAGUGCAGUGCAGGCAAUAUUCUCCUUUAUUUGUGAGACGUGAAUUUAUCUUUAUGUGUGGUGUAUGAUUUUACAUAGUCCUGCUGACUGACCCCAAACAAGGAGCACUGUCCUGAGGACUUACACUCUAACGUCACAAACAAGACAGACCAUGCACAGAGCUGAAGUGCCUCACUGAAGUGCCAGUUGGGAUCUAAACUGGUCUUCUUCACUUUCUGGUCCUUUCUAUGACCAUUUCUAUGUUAGCAACACUGAGAUCAUUAGCAAUGCUGAAUUUGGCAUAUUAAAAUACCACAGAGGAAGUGGUAAGUGAGUGGUUAAAUCUUGUGUUAAGCAUUUUUUAUGUGCUAGUAAUAGAACUUUUGGAGUGUAUUUUUGUUGUUGGGAGUGAUGUUCAUCCUCUGUUGUGAACUCUAGUCCGUGUCUUCAGUUCUGCCUGGUUUCUGCAGAUUGCGGUCCUGCUCUCUAGGCAGCCCAGGGGAUGCUGCAGUUCCACCAGUCCAGAAGGCAUUGCACUCUGGGCUUUAUUUCUGUAUUUUUGGUACACAUAUCAUCCUUUGGAUAAGUAAAUACUAAAUUCCUGUUAAAUCUUGCACAAGGAAGCUAAUAACUAUUAAUGCAGAAAAAAAUGGGCCAUAUACUAUUGAAGCACUGAAUGAUGCAUGAGCAGAGAUGGAUGUCCCAGUCUUCAAAGUCACAUUUGUCACUUUUUCAUUUAAUUUCUGAUUAAACAGUCCGUUACAUCUGUAGGACUGUGGGUAUCCAGACCAGCUUUCAGCCUGUUGUAGAUCCAAGGGAAGGAUGUGUAGUUUUACAGCUUUGUUACAAGAAGGGUCUGCUCCUUUCCUCUUGUUUGAACUUACAGGUCCUUUUUUUUCUUAACUAAGCCAAAAGGAAAAAAAAGUCAGCAAUUGUGGGGAACAGAGCCAUUUUAGGAAAAACUGCCUAUUUUAGGCACGAACUGCCAAGAACUGCUCUGUUUGCUGCUGACAUUGAUUCACGCUGCUCCUGGCCAGCCCAGGGUGAGCUCUUUGACCAGGGCCCUGUGUACUACUCCUUGUUCCUUGGUCCCCACAUGUCAGGAACAAGGUAUGGGAAGGAUAAAUAAUACGGAGUUGGUGGUUCUGUGCAGUUGAAGAAUGAGACUCCAAUUCACCUGACCUAACACUGGCCUUCGAAUGAGAUACCUGAAUUAGGGAGCUGUCUCAUCCUAGGCUUCAUUUAAAAAAAUAAAAACUGGGGGAGGCUUCACAUCUGCCAAAGGUGAUCUAUGUCUUUUGGCAAUCAGGUCACAACUUCAGGCACUUCAGGGAGGGCUUAGCAAAUUUCAGCUGAGUCUGUCUACAGCCUGAUGGGGAGGACUGAGGGGCAAGCUUUGCUCACAGGGAGACUCCUAUGAAACUUUGGUUACAGUCACACAGAGAGCUGCAGCUGUAGGAAUGAGAACCUUCUAUAGCAAAACCUCUUUUGCUUUUGCAUCGGCCGUUUGCAUCAAGUUAAGUUCUAGCCAAACAAGUCUUGAAUGUAUAGAGCGUGCUGCUUUUCCUUCCCAGACGUGUAUCUGAUGAUGUGCAAAUUCAUGAUUCAAUUCUGUAUAAUUGUUGCUUAACUGGAAUUGCUAAAGUCUCUGACUAUUCAAUGACACCGCUAAGACUGCUGACUAUGGAAGUUGGGAGUUCUAAAUUACAGUGAAAAAAUAUAAAGGUGGAAAUGAAGACAAGUCCCAUAUAUCCCCAAAAGAGAAAUUUCCCUGAAACCUCAACCUAUAACAAAAGUGCAAUGCUUCAGCUCACUGCAGUGGAAAUGCUAAGUCAUGGCCUGGAGCAGUGAUGGAGCACCUGGUGGGAAGGCAGGGUCAGCCCAGCAGAGCCCAGGUGCAUGCAAUGUGUCUGAGUGACCGGAAGGGCUGGAGCCAGGAUCCACCCCUGCCCAGACCUCAUUUAAGGGUUGGCAGGGGAGGUGAGGGUGUCCUGCUGGAGAUCCCUAUCUACCUGAGGCCUUCUAUAGUCACCGUGCUUCAGCUGGUGGUGCUCGUUGCCCAAACUCUCCCUCUGCUGCUGCUCACUUCUCACCUCCUGCAGUCGGUCGUGCCUGCCUAUAGCACUUGUGACAGUCCUUCCACACCUUAAGAAG
Long non-coding RNA from Numida meleagris (helmeted guineafowl), 7369 nucleotides. RefSeq lists it as uncharacterized. Lineage: Eukaryota; Metazoa; Chordata; Aves; Galliformes; Numididae. The record is from RefSeq and is a predicted model, not a curated record. The transcript has 3 exons.